GAUGCCUUUGACCCCACUUGGGGUCAAGAUCUCUCUGCUGCUCAGCUCCAAGCCUGUCUUCUGCAGGACAAAGCUGGGGGAAAAGGUAAAGGAAGGAGAAAGGGGUAGAAAAGCUCUCCUCUUUUACGGGGUCCCCGUCAUUCAGAGAAGUCCGUGUGGCCGCCUGUCCUACAGUGGGCGCCGCAGCCCUUCAAUUGGACAGGGGUGGGGAGUCAAGGGAAGCUCCUGGCUCCCUGGUGCUGAGAGAAAGGAGAACUUGCCCAUAGCAGUGCUCCAGGCUGGCUAGAGCUGGAUGGAGAAGAGUGUUGGUGUCAGGUCUUCAAACUACCUUCACCUUUCCACAAGGACAGCUUGGCAUCUCUGGGGAUUGCAAUCCUGUUUUGCAAUCAGAGUGAAUUGCCAGAGGAAAAGACAUGGCUGUAGGCAACAUUACAGCUUAGCUCCUAAGAUGUGCAGCACUGGGCACAACCCUCUAACCCCCGCAGUAAACAGCUCCUUGUAUUCCUACAGCAACAGUAGAUAGCCAACAGACAGAUGAUGUAGGCACAGGGUUUCUUCUUUGCUGGAGAAGUAGAGAGAUCUUUCCUCUGGGUGGGAAGUAAGCCAGAAAUUAGUCUAUACGUUGGAGGUUUGGAAAUGCCACCCUGUGCGUGUGAGGAGCUCAGAAGCGUGUUCGUCCCUGCUGCUCUCUUCUGCCCCAUUCAUACUCUAGAACAUCUUUCUUACAGCUUCACUGGCCCUCAUGCUAUUUUGGCCUGGCAGAUCCCUCCAGUUGCCUAAUGCACAGAGUACAUCAGUCUGCAUGACCUGUAUCUGCAGGUGUAUCACAAACGCAAAGACAACAUCUGGAGGCUGAAGAGAGAGGGUUACGUCACCAGUGACGGCAAAGUGGUUUGCACUCUGAAGGAGUUCAAUGAGUACAGGCAGUAUCUGACCACGCUCAAGCUGGAGGCAGAGAAAACGUUCGUGCGAGAGGAG
Molecule: long non-coding RNA, 978 nt
Organism: Aquila chrysaetos chrysaetos
Lineage: Eukaryota; Metazoa; Chordata; Aves; Accipitriformes; Accipitridae
Exons: 2
Source: RefSeq, a predicted model, not a curated record